AUGACAAGCGCUAGAGGAACCGUUGCUGCUUGGCUCCUCCGCUGUCUCAGGGUCGUCGCGCCACCACCAUGCUGUCGCGCUCCUAUUCUCCGCAGCCCUCCACGGCUCGGCGCUGACGAGGACCGACGGGAUCCCCGCCACUGCUUCCUCCACCCAGCGGCGAGAGCUGUGCCCGCUCUUCACUACGCCGGCACACCACGCUGCUCAGAUCCGUCAUGGUGGAAACCCGAUACAGGUGGCCUUCCUUCAGAUCUUUUUUGGUUUCUGUCGAAUUUGUCAGCUGCUCAGAGGAGUGGAAGUGAGUAG
RNAcentral lists this ribosomal RNA (306 nucleotides) under Triticum aestivum (bread wheat). RNAcentral's name for it is "partial small subunit ribosomal RNA". The record is from RNAcentral. Lineage: Eukaryota; Viridiplantae; Streptophyta; Magnoliopsida; Poales; Poaceae.